This 488-nucleotide ribosomal RNA is filed under the name uncultured bacterium. Its description in RNAcentral is "bacterial SSU rRNA". It matches the Rfam family "Bacterial small subunit ribosomal RNA", at positions 9 to 487 of the family's 1533-position model. The record is from RNAcentral.
GAGUUUGAUUUGGCUCAGGAUGAACGCUAGCUACAGGCUUAACACAUGCAAGUCGAGGGGCAGCAUGGUCUUAGCUUGCUAAGGCCGAUGGCGACCGGCGCACGGGUGAGUAACACGUAUGCAACUUACCUAUCAGAGGGGGAUAACCCGGCGAAAGUCGGACUAAUACCGCAUGAAGCAGGGGCCCCGCAUGGGGAUAUUUGCUAAAGAUUCAUCGCUGAUAGAUAGGCAUGCGUUCCAUUAGGCAGUUGGCGGGUAACGGCCCACCAAACCGACGAUGGAUAGGGGUUCUGAGAGGAAGGUCCCCCCAAUUGGUACUGAGACACGGACCAAACUCCUACGGGAGGCAGCAGUGAGGAAUAUUGGUCAAUGGGCGUAAGCCUGAACCAGCCAAGUCGCGUGAGGGAUGAAGGUUCUAUGGAUCGUAAACCUCUUUUAUAAGGGAAUAAAGUGCGGGACGUGUCCCGUUUUGUAUGUACCUUAUGAAU